RNAcentral lists this long non-coding RNA (413 nucleotides) under Vigna radiata. RNAcentral describes it as "long non-coding RNA (VRAD_LNC012151)". The record is from RNAcentral. Lineage: Eukaryota; Viridiplantae; Streptophyta; Magnoliopsida; Fabales; Fabaceae.
AAAAAACGGACCAAACAAAAACCUCAAAAUAAUAAAAUAAAUGAAAAAAAUUGAAAAACAAAAACUCAAAUAACCGAACAAGAAAAAGAAAGCAAAGACGAACGACGGUUCAAUGCUUCAAACGAACGACAGCAACUAGAAAUGGUUGAGAACUCUGAAAUGAAUGGCGAGAACCUCCAAAGCCCACGUCAAUGGAUGUUUCGUCCUUCAACAAUGCUUCAAAACCAACGGUGGUUGCAACGAUGGCAAACGACGGUUAUAGUGACAGCGAACGGUAGUUGCAGACGAUGGUUCUCUCUCGCACUCUCGCACAACCCUCUUUCUCGCAACUUCAAAAAUGAAAUUUCGAAUCCAAACAAGAGAAAGAGAAAAUGCAAACAUGAAACCCUUGAAACCCUUAAUUUUGGACUUUC